RNAcentral lists this transfer RNA (72 nucleotides) under Candidatus Dormiibacterota bacterium. RNAcentral's name for it is "tRNA-Glu". It matches the Rfam family "tRNA". Rfam says of the family: Transfer RNA (tRNA) molecules are approximately 80 nucleotides in length. Lineage: Bacteria; Bacillati; Candidatus Dormiibacterota. The record is from RNAcentral.
GGCCCCAUCGUCUAGUGGUUAGGACGCCAGCCUUUCACGCUGGCAACGAGGGUUCGAUUCCCUCUGGGGCUA